UUUAAGUUUGGUGGGUUAUGGAUGCAAUUUUGAAAACCCAAUUGGAGCAUAAUCUGUUUAACUAUAAGGAACUAUUUGAAUGUUACUGUAUGCUGAACCCUUCAGUCCCCAACAGAGCAUCUGAUUUGUAAAGAUUGUAUCUUUAUGCAGAAACAGUAAUUCGAUUGGUUUGUUUGUUUGUUUUUCAAUUCGUGCUAGAUAAUUUACAUGUGGGGUUCUUUCUGUAACCCAUUUCAAUCUUGCCCAACUAAUCUUCACUGGCUUUUAUGAACUUCAAGUUUUCACUUUUAUGCUUGACAGUUGAUAUGAGGUGCUUAUGCUUUAUGAAAUAUGAUUCAAAUGUUUGUGUGAAUCGUGUUUCUCAUUUUUGGCAUUUAUAUGGUUUGAUGCGGUUGGUAUUCUGUUCCUGCAAAUGGUCUAAUUUUGUAGCACAUUGUGAUUUCUGUCAGAGUGGGAAUUGUACUGUGACCAAAGCACUCUUCAAUAUUAUUCUUUUGAACAUUCCUGGUUUUUGUUAAGUAUAAUGUUUGCGAGUUCCAGAAGCUCUGUUUGUUGCCAGUCAGGAAGUAAUCGGCCAGCUGAAGCAGCUUUGUCACUCUUCUACUGGCAUUUGAUAUGGAUCAUAGGCUAGAUGAGGCUGAAUCACUGUGGAACAUGAUUCUGUAU
Fragaria vesca subsp. vesca is the source of this 666-nucleotide RNA transcript. RefSeq lists it as uncharacterized. Lineage: Eukaryota; Viridiplantae; Streptophyta; Magnoliopsida; Rosales; Rosaceae. The transcript has 2 exons. The record is from RefSeq and is a predicted model, not a curated record.